This is a long non-coding RNA of Strigops habroptila (Kakapo), 563 nucleotides long. RefSeq lists it as uncharacterized. NCBI's taxonomy places the organism in Eukaryota, Metazoa, Chordata, Aves, Psittaciformes, Psittacidae. The record is from RefSeq and is a predicted model, not a curated record. The transcript has 3 exons.
CAGCUCCGCGCUCAGGUAUCCGCGGCCCCGCAUUGGAGGCCCCCAGCGCCGCACGCCCCAUGGCCCUGCUGGGGAGGAUCGACUGGCAACAAAUAAUAAGAAACUGGAUUCAUCUCCGUGAUUCUGGCCACCAAAGGAAACAAACCUAAGGUGUUCAGACCUUGACAAUUCUAAAGAGUGAGUAAAUCACGAUCGCCUCUUUGGGUGACAUUUAUGAGCAGAAAGAAAACUUGGUUUCUGAGGUUAUGAUAAAAAUGACCAACGUUGCUACAAUACAGGGACUCUUCGGGAGGAAGAAGAGCUGAUCCCAAACCUGAUUCCUAGUCUUAAUGACGCCAGGAGCAGCGCAAGCACACUCGCUAAUAAUCGUCGCGAACUGCAUUUCAAAGAAACAUCCCUGGAAGAAAAACACCGUCGUUGAAAAAAAGAAUAAAUAGAGACUCCGCCAAAAAUGAUAAUGCGGAGUCCCUGGUGAUGAUGAUGGGCUUAAUGCAGCUGCUGCAAAUCAGCACCUGCGUGCUAGAUAAGGCAGAUAACACCUCCAACAGUUACUCCACCACCCC